Non-coding RNA from Musa acuminata subsp. malaccensis (wild Malaysian banana), 1426 nucleotides. NCBI's taxonomy places the organism in Eukaryota, Viridiplantae, Streptophyta, Magnoliopsida, Zingiberales, Musaceae. The record is from RefSeq and is a predicted model, not a curated record.
UACCUUCCUCUAUCGCCACAUUGUCAGAUAUCGGAGCUAACAGCAACGGGAAACGAGCCCCGCCCCCGUUCGAACACCAAGUAGCAUCACCGCCCGCAAUCCAAUAGCUAUAGCCUCAGCUGCGAGCCAGGUCUUCAGUUGUCUCCCCACCACUGCUCUUCUGAUCCUCAUCACCCCCCCAAGUUUGACGCUACCUCAGUGAUCCAACGGAGGCAGCUUCCUUGCACUCGCGAGGCCUUGUCUGGCUAGAUUCCGUGGUCUGUACAUCUACCGGGAUGCCGGAGACUUUGACGUCGGCGUUGAUGGUGGGGACGAGGAAAGGGAGGUGGGAAGACAAUUGAAGACCCUGGUUUGCAGCUGGCUGUUGCCAUUGGAUUGCUGCGGUGCUGCUGUUGCUUGAUGGGCUUGUUUUCCGAUACUGUUAGCUCCAGUAUUCGACAGUGUUGUCAGAGGAAGUGAUGAUUUCAGAUACACUGCAGGAUGCGAAGCCCCAUCAAUAAGGAAAUUUUUUUUAUCGAGUUUGGCCUUCAUGUAGCUGCUAACGAUCUUUCUUUGGUCACCUACAAGCAACGAAACUCUUCUUUCUGAGAGACGAAGAAGCAACAGGGAUUCAUAUGAUGGAGAAAGAAGUUGCAGAGAUGGCCUCUUCCGAUGGAGAUAUGGUGGGCUACAGCUACUCAGCUAAACUUAAAAAAAUGCUUCGAACAAACAUAGUAGCGUUAUCAAAUCUCUUGUAAGGGUUCCUUUACAUGCUAUUGAUUAGCUAACGAAGUGUGGGAGAAUUAGAAAUGCAUAUGCAUCACUCAUGAUCUAUAUUUAAUUUGGACGGCAACAAGUUGAAGGUUUGCUGCAAUAGAUAAGAUUCUCGGACGCUGGAUCAUGUCAUCAUCUUAUUCCAGAACAUACAUUUCUAGUCCUAUCCUAAAUAUUUCGUCGACGUUCGUCAGCAUCACUUGCGAUGGGUAUCUAUAAACUUUCUACUCCAAAUGCUAUAAACACGAUCAGACGGGUGUCUUGAUACUCCUUUGUCAGGCUGCUUGCCUGGUCAAGUUGACCUUUAGAUCAAGCGACGAAGCAUGUAUGCUUCAUGUGCAUUCAUUCAUAAAUGAACCAAUGAUCUGAUUGUUGAUUCUCUAGUGAUAGCAACAUUUUUAAUGUUUCGAGGAGAAAUUGUUGGACUUUGACUUCGUCUUAAUCCAUUGUAUUCUUUGGUGAUUGUGGUUGGAAAUGGUCCAAAAUUGGAGUUGACGACGACUGUCACAGCACAAGGAAAGGUACACCCGCUCGUCUCCCACCAGCUUCGAGAUUCGUGCGUAAAAUGAUCGUGCACGAAUCUUGACGCAUAUCGAAGCUGAUGUGAUGUGAUAUUUGCUUAUUGAUACGUUCAUGUAGAAAUUAAUCUGAUGAAAAGUGUUAUUGUGACAUU